UUGAAUAGGUCAGCAGUCAUUUCUAACCCUAAUUAUUUGUGUGCAGCCUCUCCGUAGUUUGCUGUUUUGCUGGCUUUCAGUAAACUAGAGGAUGUUGGAUAUCGAGGCCGUUUUUCUUUAAAAAAGUCUAGAUUGUGCUGACCAUUCGCUCAUGCCCUUGGGUGGUAGUGUCUUUCUAUGGCCGUGGUCAGCUUACGCUGCCUCGAAGAGUUCGUCUCUGUGCCGGACACUGCUCCCGGGGAAAUUGCCGAGCAGGACUUGAGCAGAGUAAAAUUGAGCAGUGAGGAAGCUUUUGCGUUUCCCAGAGUCUUGGGAUCCGCGAGCAAUGAUCUGCUCAGACAAAU
Molecule: telomerase RNA, 344 nt
Filed under: Lepisosteus oculatus (spotted gar)
Lineage: Eukaryota; Metazoa; Chordata; Actinopteri; Semionotiformes; Lepisosteidae
Description: Vertebrate telomerase RNA
Rfam family: Vertebrate telomerase RNA
About the family: Telomerase is a ribonucleoprotein reverse transcriptase that synthesises telomeric DNA. Telomerase RNAs differ greatly in sequence and structure between vertebrates, ciliates and yeasts, but they share a 5' pseudoknot structure close to the template sequence.
Source: Rfam by way of RNAcentral